AUGGAAAAGACGACUGGGCGGACAUAAAGUGUAUCAGGACACAUUCAGCUGUGGGGUCUUUGUAAUGCAGGGUUCAACAAAGCCAACAACUGCUUCAUGUGGGCCACUGAUAAAGAACCUGGAUGUGGCCCAAAGACUGACUGGGAAUGAAGACAAAAGAGUUCAACAGAGUAAAGAACACAAACUGGAAGUGCAGUCUUUGUUGUUGAAAACUAUGCUAUACCCCAUCCACAC
Molecule: long non-coding RNA, 234 nt
Organism: Oncorhynchus masou masou (cherry salmon)
Lineage: Eukaryota; Metazoa; Chordata; Actinopteri; Salmoniformes; Salmonidae
Exons: 3
Source: RefSeq, a predicted model, not a curated record